RNAcentral lists this transfer RNA (86 nucleotides) under bacterium. RNAcentral's name for it is "tRNA-Leu". It matches the Rfam family "tRNA". Rfam says of the family: Transfer RNA (tRNA) molecules are approximately 80 nucleotides in length. Their secondary structure includes four short double-helical elements and three loops (D, anti-codon, and T loops). The record is from RNAcentral.
GCCCGGGUGGCGGAAUGGCAGACGCAAAGGACUCAAAAUCCUUCGAGGGCAACCUCAUGAGAGUUCGACUCUCUCCCCGGGCACCA